UACGUAGGUGGCAAGCGUUAUCCGGAUUUAUUGGGCGUAAAGGGAACGCAGGCGGUCUUUUAAGUCUGAUGUGAAAGCCUUCGGCUUAACCGGAGUAGUGCAUUGGAAACUGGGAGACUCGAGUGCAGAAGAGGAGAGCGGAACUCCAUGUGUAGCGGUGAAAUGCGUAGAUAUAUGGAAGAACACCAGUGGCGAAAGCGGCUCUCUGGUCUGUAACUGACGCUGAGGUUCGAAAGCGUGGGUAGCAAACAGG
Molecule: ribosomal RNA, 253 nt
Filed under: uncultured bacterium
Lineage: Bacteria
Description: partial 16S ribosomal RNA
Rfam family: Bacterial small subunit ribosomal RNA
Source: RNAcentral